GUAUAUGGGUGAGAGAGCAAAAAAAUGAAGAAGAAGAAGAAUAGGGGGAAGGGGGGUAAGGAGAGGAAGGGAGAGAGAGCUUGACUGCCAUCAAUGGCAGAAGGAGGAGGAGCUGGAUUGAAAUGCGGGGAAGCUGGCCUGAGGUGUAGCAGAGGCCGAUGAGCGGGAUGGCGACAGUGACAACAACUCCAGCAGGCGGUAGGCGGCAAGAAGACUGUGUAGAUGGCAGCCACUUGUCGACCUUGUUCUGGUCGACUCCGGUGACCAAUGGCGGUGGUUUUGGUCUUUAAAUGACCAACAACUUGAGGGUUUUCUAAUGGGAGCAGCGGUGAGAUGGCCAAAGGAAGAAGAUUCGACGAGUUGAAUAGUGUAAGGGCGGUUUGAUUUUUUGAAUUUUUCGGUUAAUGUCGUUAAGCUUUCAAUGAUCAGAGGACACAUUCAAACCACUCUCAUCACAAGCUUUCCAAUGGCACCGGUUUCGUGACUAUCAGACUUUGUUGGAAAAUCGAUAGUUGAAACUGUCCGUGAUGUAUCGGGAUGAUCAGGGCUGGAUUAGAGAAUUAGAUGCUAGAAUCAUCAUCUACACAAUGUCUCAAGUCUGUAGGCGCGCUCAGAUUUUCGAUCGGACUCCGACGACUAGAUGCGAGUCUACUGAUUUCAGCACGCUUCUUGUCUGAUAGGCAAUAAAGAGCUCUCCCCAGCACUACAGAAUCAAACCCGAGGGAGCAUUGCAAGGCUAUCACCUUGCGAUCAGUAUUAUGCAGGAUGUUAAGAGUCAUAUCAGAUUAGAAGUCAAGCAGUUAGAGAUUCGGGUUGCUAGACUCCAUGGUCCGAGAAAGUGAAGAUAGAAGAUUAGAUAAUUAGAUCCAGUUUGGAAAAGACCAUUACAUUAUAAUAUUUAUUCUUUUGAUUUUAAUUUUUAAUUUGAUAUUUCU
Ricinus communis (castor bean) is the source of this 935-nucleotide long non-coding RNA. RefSeq lists it as uncharacterized. The transcript is spliced from 3 exons. The record is from RefSeq and is a predicted model, not a curated record. Lineage: Eukaryota; Viridiplantae; Streptophyta; Magnoliopsida; Malpighiales; Euphorbiaceae.